UGGGGAAUAUUGGACAAUGGGCGACAGCCUGAUCCAGCCAUGCCGCGUGUGUGAAGAAGGUCUUCGGAUUGUAAAGCACUUUAAGUUGGGAGGAAGGGCAGUAAGCGAAUACCUUGCUGUUUUGACGUUACCGACAGAAUAAGCACCGGCUAACUCUGUGCCAGCAGCCGCGGUAAUACAGAGGGUGCAAGCGUUAAUCGGAAUUACUGGGCGUAAAGCGCGCGUAGGUGGUUCGUUAAGUUGAAUGUGAAAGCCCCGGGCUCAACCUGGGAACUGCAUCCAAAACUGGCGAGCUAGAGUAGGGCAGAGGGUGGUGGAAUUUCCUGUGUAGCGGUGAAAUGCGUAGAUAUAGGAAGGAACACCAGUGGCGAAGGCGACCACCUGGGCUCAUACUGACACUGAGGUGCGAAAGCGUGGGGAGCAAACAGG
RNAcentral lists this ribosomal RNA (429 nucleotides) under Pseudomonadota bacterium. Its description in RNAcentral is "Proteobacteria bacterium partial 16S ribosomal RNA". It matches the Rfam family "Bacterial small subunit ribosomal RNA", at positions 355 to 776 of the family's 1533-position model. The record is from RNAcentral. Lineage: Bacteria; Pseudomonadati; Pseudomonadota.